Non-coding RNA from Cordylochernes scorpioides, 86 nucleotides. The record is from the annotation of a GenBank genome assembly. Lineage: Eukaryota; Metazoa; Arthropoda; Arachnida; Pseudoscorpiones; Chernetidae.
GGCUUCGCCCGAGAAAUCCCUUGGGUGCAAUCGAACCCGGGCCGCCCGCGUGGCAGGCGAGCAUUCUACCACUGAACCACCGAUGC